Non-coding RNA from Homo sapiens (human), 117 nucleotides. It matches the Rfam family "Metazoan signal recognition particle RNA". From Rfam's summary of the family: The signal recognition particle (SRP) is a universally conserved ribonucleoprotein. It is involved in the co-translational targeting of proteins to membranes. The record is from Rfam. NCBI's taxonomy places the organism in Eukaryota, Metazoa, Chordata, Mammalia, Primates, Hominidae.
GCCGGGCGCGGUGGCUCACGCCUGUAAUCCCAGCAUUUUGGGAGGCGGAGGCGGGCGGAUCACCUGAGGUCAGGAGUUCGAGCCCAGCCUGGCCAACAUGGUGAAACCCUGUCUCUA